AUACUGCAAGCAAAUGCAGCACAUGAUGCUCAUUAUUUUUCAUAAGACAGCUAGAAACCACAUAUCUGUCAUAUAGUAAGCAUCCCAACAGAUACUUACAGGCAUUUAUGCAAAGAACAAUAAACAAUUUCUCAUAUCAACAUGAUGAUGCUGACCAUAAACUAAAUUAAUUCAGUGCCAAGCCUUUCCAAAUUCUAUUUGCACUUUUAGUUCCUAAACUUUUUCAAACUUCAACAGAGUUUAGGAAUAAAAAGUCAGCAGAACAGCAUCUAACCGAGAUCCAACCUGUAAUGCAGCUCGAAAUAUGA
RNAcentral lists this unclassified non-coding RNA (308 nucleotides) under Hevea brasiliensis (rubber tree). Lineage: Eukaryota; Viridiplantae; Streptophyta; Magnoliopsida; Malpighiales; Euphorbiaceae. The record is from RNAcentral.